Molecule: ribosomal RNA, 947 nt
Filed under: Trypanosoma sp.
Lineage: Eukaryota; Euglenozoa; Kinetoplastea; Trypanosomatida; Trypanosomatidae
Description: SSU rRNA
Rfam family: Eukaryotic small subunit ribosomal RNA
Source: RNAcentral
GAAACAAGAAACACGGGAGCGGUUCCUUCCUGAUUCUCGCAUGUCAUGCAUGCCAGGGGGCGUCCGUGAUUUUUACUGUGACUAAAAAAGUGUGACCAAAGCAGUCAUCCGACUUGAAUUAAAAAGCAUGGGAUAACAAAGGAUGAUUCUAUGGGGCACCGUUUCCGCUUUUGUUGGUUUUAUUUUUCCUGUGAAUAUUAUGGGGCUGUGCGACAAGCGUCUGGGCGCGUGUGUCCUCUUCGAGGCCACCGUCGAGCACCUUUGGGGCAAAUCUUUGGGCUUGUGUCAUGGUAUUUUCCCUGUUGAAGAUCACCUUCUCGUACCUCACGCCAUCGGGCACUGGUGGACGCUUCUUCGGGGGAGAACGGACUGUUUCCUCGAAAGUGAAGUUCUUGUACCGCGCCAUUACCAACGACCACGAACGCCUUCUUCAAGGAUACCUUCCUCAAUCAUGAAGGAGGGGUGGGGAUCGAAGAUGAUUAUGGACCAUUGUAGGCCACACUGCUAAACAUGACCCCCAUGAAUUGGGGAGUUUGUGGUCUUCAACGAGGGCGAGUUCAUCUCGUUCCUCUCGUCUCGCCAAUGUUUAUCAAUUUACAUGCAUGUUCUGUACGGUGCCCUGUUACACGGGGGCCUUUAUCUAAGGGAAUAUCCUCAGACACGUUUUCUUACUUCUUCACUCCUCUCGCUCUGAGGUUACAGUCUCAUGGGGGAGUACAUUCUGUACAGUGACAUGUAAAGAAAUUGACGGAAUGUACCACAAGACCUGGAGCGUGUGGCUUACUUUGACUCACCACAGGUAACUUUAUCCGAUCCGGAGAGGGAGAGGAUUGACAGAAUGAGUACUCUUACUCGAUCCCCUGAAUGCACGUGCAUGGGCGCUUUUUGUCGGUGGAGUGAACUCAUGGGUGAUACUGUACCCGAUCCAGAUCCAAGCUGCCCAGUAG